RNAcentral lists this ribosomal RNA (460 nucleotides) under uncultured bacterium. RNAcentral describes it as "bacterial SSU rRNA". It matches the Rfam family "Bacterial small subunit ribosomal RNA", at positions 924 to 1374 of the family's 1533-position model. The record is from RNAcentral.
GCACAAGCAGUGAGUAUGUGGUUUAAUUCGAAGCAACGCGAAGAACCUUUACCAGGGCUUGACAUCCCUUGAAGCAGCUAGAGAUAGCUGUGUCCUUCGGGACAAGGAGACAGGUGGUGCAUGGUUGUCGUCAGCUCGUGUCGUGAGAUGUUGGGUUAAGUCCCGCAACGAGCGCAACCCCUGUGGUUAGUUGCCAGCAAGUAGCGUUGGGCACUCUAGCCAGACUGCCGGUGAUAAAUCGGAGGAAGGUGGGGACGACGUCAAAUCAUCAUGCCCUUUAUGUCCUGGGCUACACACGUACUACAAUGGCCGUUACAACGGGAAGCGAAGGAGCAAUCCGGAGCAAAUCCCUUAAAGGCGGUCCCAGUUCAGAUUGUGGGCUGAAACUCGCCCACAUGAAGGCGGAAUUGCUAGUAAUUGCAGAUCAGCAUGCUGCCAAGUCCGAAUACGUUCCGGCCUU